Long non-coding RNA from Adelges cooleyi (spruce gall adelgid), 297 nucleotides. RefSeq lists it as uncharacterized. The record is from RefSeq and is a predicted model, not a curated record. The transcript has 3 exons. NCBI's taxonomy places the organism in Eukaryota, Metazoa, Arthropoda, Insecta, Hemiptera, Adelgidae.
CACACGGUAUAGUCAAUUCAUAAUUAGUUUCGAAAAUUCAAACUGAAUACGGCACUCAUCUUUAUAACAGUACACUAAUAAAAGCAGGAAAAUGAAAUUAAUUACUAUUACAUUAUUUGUGAUACUUUGUGCAGCAUACACGAUUGCAUGGAAUGAUGAUGGAGUAUCUAAAAUUUCAGAGAUAGAGUUAAGAGUUUGACAAACUUGGGUCAAUUAAAAGAACCCAGUGAUCUACGACCAUGUAUGUGCACUAAUGUAUCCGUGCAUUACGGUUUCCAAAUUUUAACAGAAUAAAUU